RNAcentral lists this ribosomal RNA (908 nucleotides) under Pseudomonas sp. Its description in RNAcentral is "bacterial SSU rRNA". It matches the Rfam family "Bacterial small subunit ribosomal RNA", at positions 56 to 962 of the family's 1533-position model. Lineage: Bacteria; Pseudomonadati; Pseudomonadota; Gammaproteobacteria; Pseudomonadales; Pseudomonadaceae. The record is from RNAcentral.
UGCAGUCGAGCGGUAGAGAGAAGCUUGCUUCUCUUGAGAGCGGCGGACGGGUGAGUAAUACCUAGGAAUCUGCCUGAUAGUGGGGGAUAACGUUCGGAAACGGACGCUAAUACCGCAUACGUCCUACGGGAGAAAGCAGGGGACCUUCGGGCCUUGCGCUAUCAGAUGAGCCUAGGUCGGAUUAGCUAGUUGGUGAGGUAAUGGCUCACCAAGGCUACGAUCCGUAACUGGUCUGAGAGGAUGAUCAGUCACACUGGAACUGAGACACGGUCCAGACUCCUACGGGAGGCAGCAGUGGGGAAUAUUGGACAAUGGGCGAAAGCCUGAUCCAGCCAUGCCGCGUGUGUGAAGAAGUCUUCGGAUUGUAAAGCACUUUAAGUUGGGAGGAAGGGCAGUUACCUAAUACGUGACUGUCUUGACGUUACCGACAGAAUAAGCACCGGCUAACUCUGUGCCAGCAGCCGCGGUAAUACAGAGGGUGCAAGCGUUAAUCGGAAUUACUGGGCGUAAAGCGCGCGUAGGUGGUUUGUUAAGUUGAAUGUGAAAUCCCCGGGCUCAACCUGGGAACUGCAUCCAAAACUGGCAAGCUAGAGUAUGGUAGAGGGUAGUGGAAUUUCCUGUGUAGCGGUGAAAUGCGUAGAUAUAGGAAGGAACACCAGUGGCGAAGGCGACUACCUGGACUGAUACUGACACUGAGGUGCGAAAGCGUGGGGAGCAAACAGGAUUAGAUACUCUGGUAGUCCACGCCGUAACGAUGUCAACUAGCCGUUGGGAGUCUUGAACUCUUAGUGGCGCAGCUAACGCAUUAAGUUGACCGCCUGGGGAGUACGGCCGCAAGGUUAAAACUCAAAUGAAUUGACGGGGGCCCGCACAAGCGGUGGAGCAUGUGGUUUAAUUCGAAGCAACGC